CUUCUCUACUCCUCUCUGACAUGAACUUUGGGAACAGAUUUUAUAUUUUGGCUAUAUGUAUUGCUCAUUAGUGUUCCAGAGCCAUGACUUAUUCCCUCUCAGGACCACAGAUUUUAUUUGGAUGUUGUCUAAGAGAGUAGCUUUACACUUGGACCACCACCUUCACUGGGACCUAACCUUCACCUGCAGUCAGCACUGCUCAUAAAACACCUUUUGCAUCUUUUGAGUCUCACUGCUGAGGAAAGUUCCCUGUUGUCAGUGUGGAGACCAGGAGAGGUAAAAGGUAAGAGGUGUCUCUCUUUUUUUUUGUAUUGCUCACUUGUUCCUAACAACUCCUCCAAGCAAUACUUCUA
Molecule: long non-coding RNA, 353 nt
Filed under: Chloebia gouldiae (Gouldian finch)
Lineage: Eukaryota; Metazoa; Chordata; Aves; Passeriformes; Passeridae
Description: Erythrura gouldiae (Gouldian finch) lncRNA (ENSEGOG00005016101.1)
Source: RNAcentral